CGGCGAGUGANGCGGUAAAAGCUCAAAUUUGAAAUCUGGUACUUUCAGUGCCCGAGUUGUAAUUUGUAGAAUUUGUCUUUGAUUAGGUCCUUGUCUAUGUUCCUUGGAACAGGACGUCAUAGAGGGUGAGAAUCCCGUUUGGCGAGGAUACCUUUUCUCUGUAAGACUUUUUCGAAGAGUCGAGUUGUUUGGGAAUGCAGCUCAAAGUGGGUGGUAAAUUCCAUCUAAAGCUAAAUAUUGGCGAGAGACCGAUAGCGAACAAGUACAGUGAUGGAAAGAUGAAAAGAACUUUGAAAAGAGAGUGAAAAAGUACGUGAAAUUGUUGAAAGGGAAGGGCAUUUGAUCAGACAUGGUGUUUUUUGCAUGCACUCGCCUCUCGUGGGCUUGGGCCUCUCAAAAAUUUCACUGGGCCAACAUCAAUUCUGGCAGUAGGAUAAAUCAUUAAGAAUGUAGCUACCUCGGUAGUGUUAUAGCUUAUUGGAAUACUGCUAGCUGGGAUUGAGGACUGCGCUUCGGCAAGGAUGUUGGCAUAAUGGUUAAAUGCCGCCCGU
This 551-nucleotide ribosomal RNA is filed under the name Hanseniaspora opuntiae. RNAcentral's name for it is "partial large subunit ribosomal RNA". It matches the Rfam family "Eukaryotic large subunit ribosomal RNA", at positions 87 to 652 of the family's 3401-position model. Lineage: Eukaryota; Fungi; Ascomycota; Saccharomycetes; Saccharomycodales; Saccharomycodaceae. The record is from RNAcentral.